CGCCGCCCCGCACGUGCCGUCCGUCAAGUCCGACCCCGGCAAGGCGAAGAACAAGCUCAGACCUCCGUCGCCCACGGAGUCUGUGAAGCAGAUAGCUGAUGGGGGUCAGGUGCAGUACAGGCCACACACGGCCGAGAGACCCAGGUCACUGGUGAAAGCCAGGAAGCAGUACAAGUCGGAAUACCUGGAGAAGUUUGUGCCACCGUGGAGCUACGAGUACGACCAUGGAGAGUGGAAGAAGGUGAAACAGGUGAGAGGAGAGUGGAAGAAAGUGAAACAGGUGAGAGGAGAGUGGAAGAAAGUGAAA
This is a long non-coding RNA of Priapulus caudatus, 307 nucleotides long. RefSeq lists it as uncharacterized. The transcript is spliced from 3 exons. The record is from RefSeq and is a predicted model, not a curated record. Lineage: Eukaryota; Metazoa; Priapulida; Priapulimorpha; Priapulimorphida; Priapulidae.